GCUCACGGGGUCGCAGGCGGAGUUGCUAUGGAUGGGGCCGCGGUAGCCAGUGACCUGCUGACACUGGGGUACGAUGCCCUCCCAGAGGGGGCGUCUCGGGGCCCCGCGUGUGCGGACUUCAGGGCGCUGUGCGCGCGACUGGCGGCGGAGCUGACGACUCUGGGAGCUGUGGAGCGGCGAGAGGAGGGCACCGCGGUUCUCGGCGCCGGCCACGGUGCGUGAAAUGCUGGGUGGACGGCGGGUGGAGCCGCGGAACCCGCUGCUCCCUGAUGGCUUCUUCCUCCCGCAGGCCCGGACGCAGAGGAAGAGUUCCUGCGGCAGUUGGCUGGCCUGCUGCGGGCGUUGCACUGCCCGGAUCGCGCGCUCUGCGGCGGAGACUGCGCCACCAUGCUGCGGGAGCCCGGUGGCGGCCUGCGCCUGCUGCGGUUUCUUUGCUCUGAGCUCCAGGCUGCUCGCCUCUUGCAUCUAAAGCUCCAGCGUGAUCCUAGCCCUGUGCCGUCCUUUGGAGAAGGCACGAAGGAGGGAAAUGACGUGGUUCAGGAACUGAUGCUAACUCUUAAAGCCCUGGGGCUACCUAGACCCCUGCGUGGAACCCUGGCUAGCCAGCUACUUCGGGAGUUUCAUGACAAGAUCUCUGAGCUGCUGCCUGCCCUGCCCCCAGAGUCCAUGAAGCCCCUUCUUAACUCGCCACUGGAUGCAUCUCGAUGGGAAGCCCUGGAGGCUUUGUCCCAAAGCCUGACUGAACAGUACGGCUGCCGUCGCUGCCUCCUCCUGAAGCGCCUGGACCUCACAACAUCUGCUUUCCACUGGGGCGAUCGGGCAGAGGCCCACAGUGAGGUCAUGAAGGCAGUGCUCUGCCCAAUCCGAGGGCUUCUGACUCCAGAGUCUGAUGUCUCUACCGCACAUGUUCUGGCUGCCCGAGCUGACCUUUCUCGCCUGGUCCCAGCUACCAGUGUGGCUGCCCGACGAGGGACCAGCUGUGCAAUCAACAAGGUGCUUAUGGGUGAUGUGCCAGACCGUGGGGGGCGCCCAAGCGAGCUGGAGGCUCCCAUGCCUACCUGGAAGAGCCGAAGAGAGGAUGGAGGAAGGGGGAAAGCUGGCCAGCAGCGCUGGGGCCGCAGAAAGAAGAAGAAGUAAAGGGCCUUCCAGGGUCGGUUGCAGGUUCUGUUGGGUGCUGACGCCGCUGUCAAUCCUUGGGGGGGCCACUGAGGGUUGUCUUUGGCAAGCCUUGUCUUCCCUGUCCCGCAGGUCCUAAAUGCCCUACACCCAGCCACCACUCCACACCAUGAACCAUGAACUACGAACUGUGUUGUGUGAAAAAUAAAUUUAAUUCUUUUGAUUGUUA
Rattus norvegicus (Norway rat) is the source of this 1345-nucleotide RNA transcript. It is a transcript of the gene named family with sequence similarity 98, member C, with no coding region annotated. The transcript is spliced from 7 exons. Lineage: Eukaryota; Metazoa; Chordata; Mammalia; Rodentia; Muridae. The record is from RefSeq and is marked validated.